Molecule: small RNA, 125 nt
Filed under: Marmota monax (woodchuck)
Lineage: Eukaryota; Metazoa; Chordata; Mammalia; Rodentia; Sciuridae
Source: RNAcentral
GCCAGGCGAGGUGGCCCACGUCUGUCAUCCCAGAGGCUCGGGAGGCUGAGGCAGGAGGAUCAUGAGUUCAAAGCCAGCCUCAGCAACAGCGAGGCACUAAGCAACGCAGUGAGACCCUGUCUCUA